AGCUUUGCACAGUGGAAGUACCGUAGUCAAGGAGGUUUAUCUGAGCAGCGAUUAUUGCUAAUUGAAAACUUUCCCCAAAAGAU
Fukomys damarensis (Damara mole-rat) is the source of this 83-nucleotide small nuclear RNA. Its record names the gene U4. It matches the Rfam family "U4 spliceosomal RNA". From Rfam's summary of the family: U4 small nuclear RNA (U4 snRNA) is a component of the major U2-dependent spliceosome. The structure of U4 snRNA from yeast and human has been reported. NCBI's taxonomy places the organism in Eukaryota, Metazoa, Chordata, Mammalia, Rodentia, Bathyergidae. The record is from Ensembl.